CAGUCGCCGCGGGAAUACGUAGGGUGCAAGCGUUAAUCGGAAUUACUGGGCGUAAAGCGCACGCAGGCGGUUUGUUAAGACAGAUGUGAAAUCCCCGGGCUUAACCUGGGAACUGCAUUUGUGACUGGCGGGCUAGAGUAUGGCAGAGGGGGGUAGAAUUCCACGUGUAGCAGUGAAAUGCGUAGAGAUGUGGAGGAAUACCGAUGGCGAAGGCAGCCCCCUGGGCCAAUACUGACGCUCAUGCACGAAAGCGUGGGGAGCAAACAGGAUUAGAUACCCCGGUAGUCCCUGUCUCUUAUAC
This 301-nucleotide ribosomal RNA is filed under the name uncultured bacterium. RNAcentral's name for it is "partial 16S ribosomal RNA". It matches the Rfam family "Bacterial small subunit ribosomal RNA", at positions 509 to 807 of the family's 1533-position model. The record is from RNAcentral.